Non-coding RNA from Schistosoma rodhaini, 45 nucleotides. The record is from Rfam. Lineage: Eukaryota; Metazoa; Platyhelminthes; Trematoda; Strigeidida; Schistosomatidae.
AUCCAGCUGAAGAGUCUUAAAUAGGACGAAAUGCGCCUCCUGGAU